This 466-nucleotide ribosomal RNA is filed under the name uncultured bacterium. Its description in RNAcentral is "partial 16S ribosomal RNA". It matches the Rfam family "Bacterial small subunit ribosomal RNA", at positions 355 to 839 of the family's 1533-position model. The record is from RNAcentral.
UGGGGAAUAUUGGACAAUGGGGGCAACCCUGAUCCAGCAAUGCCGCGUGUGUGAAGAAGGUCUUCGGAUUGUAAAGCACUUUCGACGGGGACGAUGAUGACGGUACCCGUAGAAGAAGCCCCGGCUAACUUCGUGCCAGCAGCCGCGGUAAUACGAAGGGGGCUAGCGUUGCUCGGAAUGACUGGGCGUAAAGGGCGUGUAGGCGGUUUACACAGUCAGAUGUGAAAUCCCCGGGCUUAACCUGGGAGCUGCAUUUGAUACGUGUAGACUAGAGUGUGAGAGAGGGUUGUGGAAUUCCCAGUGUAGAGGUGAAAUUCGUAGAUAUUGGGAAGAACACCGGUGGCGAAGGCGGCAACCUGGCUCAUGACUGACGCUGAAGCGCGAAAGCGUGGGGAGCAAACAGGUUAGAUACCCUGGUAGUCCACGCUGUAAACGAUGUGUGCUAGAUGUUGGGUAACUUUGUUAU